UUGGCAACUCCUAACAAUAAAAGAGAAAGUUCUGAAUAGGGGAGAACACAAUGAGGCACUGGAAGGAGCGGUAGCUCACCCCACAAAAACCGGAAUGGUCAGGACCCAACAUUGAAUUCACCAAUGGGCAGCCGUAGACGCAGGACCAAACUUGUGUCACGUGAAAAAAUCCUACCAAUCGAAAACCUUAGCUCGCCAAGAGCGGAAACCACAUCCAUAACGAAACCCAUCUCCACUCUCUCAUUCUGUGGUGAGACAUCCUCGGGCUCGCAUGUGGAGAGUUCGCAGUGCCGGUUUAUAACAAGUAUAUUUUCCAUCUUGGAUUUUGUACUUGACUUGGUGACUUAUUGAAGACAAAGAUCGCUUGCACGGCAAGGUGAAAUCCUCCAUCGAUUAUUCAUCUCUGGACAUCUUUCUAGCUCGGAGGAAAAAUCUUCGAGAUUUCUCACUUAAGAGAUUGGCAUAUGACGGUUGCCCUGCAAAGGUUAUACUGGUUAUAAAAUUCCACGAGGGAGAAAUUUUACUACACAAGAUAGAAGGCUUGUACCUGGGAACUGCACGAAGGAAAGUUUAACCAUUCUGGAGCCAAAAACCGCCAAGUGCCAAGUUUUCGAAAAUUAUUGCGAAGCUACAAAGCUUCAGAGCGAUGCAGAGCAAAUCAAAGGAACUUUCAAAGAUUUCAACAAGUAUGGACCCGAGAAUUCCAGCCGAUUUCUUAUAUAAAAAGCGAAAGUCCCGAUCGGCCGCCAAGCACAGCCGGAAUCGACGAAACAAGCAAGCACGUAAAGCACGCGAGCUUUUAGAUCUCAAAUACCGCGAAUGUUUAAACACUUUAAGUAAUCUGCGAGUUACCAAUUCAUUUUCUUCUUCUCUUGACAGAGUAAAUCCGUCUAAACUAGAUCAAUCAUUUCCCUCAACUCCCCCCUCUCAUUUAUCAGUCACUCCGAAAACGAAUCUGUCAUUCCCUCUUUAAUCUCUUCUUCAGAUUUCCCCUAGAAUAUAAGAAUAGAUGUAUAGGAAAAAAUUUAGAGAAAUGGAUGUAGGAAUAAUAUAUUUAUAAAGAUGCAUGUGUAGGUAGAAUGAGUAGGUAAAAUGUUAUAUUUUACUUAUAAUUAAGUUAUAUCGAAAUUAUAUGUGUUAUAUGUUAAGGGGGAAUAUAUACCUAGAAACGAAAAAAAAGGUAAUGUUUUGGAAUUUUUUUCAGGGGAACCAUUGGAAUUAUCGGGUCGUGGUUUUUUGUAGUUAAAAAUAUACACUUUCAAGACUGUUUAACAUUUUUUUUAUUUAAAAAUGUUGCAAAUUUACCGAGUACUGGAGUCGUCUACGGAGUGCCGUAAAAAAAUGUUCUAUGACAAAACGGUACCCAGCGGCGAUUUGUCAAAAAUCAUCUAAAACAAAAAAUGAAACAGGAAAUGAAAAUAGAUACUAUUAUCUUUGGAGUGUCAUAGCCGAUUUUAUAAAUAUCGAUUUUUUACAAAAUGGCGGGCGCUUGAACUCAACGUAGCGAUUUUCAAAAAAAAAUUUGUUUCUUUUUUACAAAAAAAAAACUAAGAAUUGAAAAAAAAAUUCUAUGACACGCGAUAGAUAAUUAUGUAUACAAUAACCACGAGAAUUUUUAAGUCCAUCGGUUUAGUGGUUUACGAGAUAUUAUGGGUACCAGUUUAAAAAACGUUGGAUUGAGAAAAACGCGUUUGCAAAUGUUUUUAUAUAUAAACUAUGAAAUUUGUUCAACUUACACAGAGUCAUCGAUACCAGGUCCAUAAUAUAAGUUUUCCGAAGUGGACGGUACGCCCAUAUCUUCUAAAUUUUGUUGUCGGCGUCGUAGUCGCCCUUUUUUCUUUUCUAGGUGUAUAUUCCCCCUUAAAACGUAUUAUUUUUUAUAUAAAAUAUAUUAUCUUUAUUACGUAAUAUUAGCAUAUACGAUAUCAGGAUAUUAAACUUGUUAUGUUAUGUAAUAUUAAAUUCAGUCGUAUCAAAAUUUUAUAAUUCAAGUAUAAUUAAGUAAAAGUAGAUUAAAUUUGGACAUAAAAUCUCGUAAUUUUUUAUUUAUUUCUAUCAAGAAUUUUAUACUAAUAUUAUUUCAUAUUAAUUUUAAAAAGGACAUAUAUUGUCGAGACCGUGCAGAAAAAAGAUUACAAUUGUCGUCAGACUUAUUGUUCGGUUUGUACAGCUUAUCGAUUAUGAAGAAAAGGCAUUCUACUAUACGAGCGUGAAAUCAUUUAAUUUGACAAUUUCUAUUUUAGGUUGGAGGUAAUAAUUAUUUUCUUGUUCUUUGUGAACGUUAUAUAACCCAGUAAGCAAGUAACAUCAAGAAACAUUU
This is a long non-coding RNA of Temnothorax curvispinosus, 2320 nucleotides long. RefSeq lists it as uncharacterized. The record is from RefSeq and is a predicted model, not a curated record. Lineage: Eukaryota; Metazoa; Arthropoda; Insecta; Hymenoptera; Formicidae. The transcript is spliced from 3 exons.